Molecule: transfer RNA, 75 nt
Filed under: TM7 phylum sp. oral taxon 352
Lineage: Bacteria; Candidatus Saccharimonadota
Description: tRNA-Met
Rfam family: tRNA
About the family: Transfer RNA (tRNA) molecules are approximately 80 nucleotides in length. Their secondary structure includes four short double-helical elements and three loops (D, anti-codon, and T loops).
Source: RNAcentral
UGCAGGGUAGAGCAGUGGUAGCUUGCUUGGCUCAUAACCAAGAGGUCGGGGGUUCGACUCCCUCCCCUGCAACUA